UCAGGUCAGCCUUUUUUCUGGUUUCCUACCUGCUCAGCGAGACACCUGGGUCCUCUUCUCACCAUUUGCUCACUACCCCCCCCCCGCCCCGCCCCAGUCUUAUUCCUUCCUAAGAGCCUGCCCAUUCACUGGAAGGAUGCAAAUAUCUAGCUCCCCUUGGAGCUUCAGGCUCCCCAGGGGUGGGGAAAGGGGUUGAGCACCUCCUCUUUGAGGAGGUUGCUGCCUUUGAUUUUCUAGGAGUUCAGAAGGUGGAGAGACCCCCAGAUUUUCCCAGAGGCUGUUAGUGCCCAGUGCCCUGAGGCUGAAACAUCACAUUCCUUCCCAACCCUUCUCAGAGCACCCAUGACCCCUUCUGAACUUGUCCAGUCUGAUUAGGUGUGGUGUUUCUGGCAGCCGAAACUGAGAUCUUAAUUGUUUCUGCCUCCUCUGAACUCACCCGUGUUUGGUUUUUUUGUGUGCAUGCAUUUAAACUAGCAGCUCCCUGAGAGCAGAAGCUGUGUCAGAUCCCUCCCACUCUCUCAGCUUCUCUCUGGGGCCUUGCACCGGGUAGGUGCCAAUCAACAUAUGCAUGCUUGAACUGUUUCAUACAGUGGGACGUUCCAGGUUUUCUUACGGGAUUUCCCUGGUCCCGUGGGAAGUAGAUAAUUUGUGCAUCAGAAUCAGACAUGACUGAUUGUUGGCCGGUCUCAAAGGAAGAGGCUGACUUUUUGAGGCUGAUGGUUUUCUUUUCCUCUUCCCAGUCUCAGGCUGCUUGUCUAGGCUGUCUGGCAUCUUGAGCAUAGAGGACUCUUUGCGACAGAAAUGACCAGUUUUGAGGGCAGCUUGUCACUCUGGUAAUUGCUGCAGAUCAUCCAGAGGGCCUUGUAGAUGUUUCUGGUAGAUUUUACUGUUUGGAAACCGAGGGCUCCACCUUUCCCAAACCCCUGGCUCAAACCCUGAUGGCCAGGGUUUCUCUCUCUUAAAUUCAGUAUCUACAUGGGUUUUUUUCCUUCAUGAAAUCUCCUUCCUCUUUGUUCCUCUGCCCUCAUGCUAUACCACCAUCAGGGGCAGGAGGCCAGGGUUCUAGCAGCUCUACCAUUACCUUGCUGUAUGUGUCGUUGACUACUUCCCAUCUCCCUCUCUGAACCUCCCUUUCUCCAUGUGUAAAAGAUGGUUAUUGGUCUAGCUUCAGCAAUCUGUGAUACCAUCAUCGAAUCGAUGAGGAGUAGAAUGGCCACUUUUCUUUCCUGGACAGGUCUCCCUUGUAGCAUCCCUAGUUGCGUGGGCUCCAUACUGGACACAGCCCCAGGUCAAGGGGGAGCAUGCCCUGCCAAAUGCAUAUUCUCCUUUGGAAGAACUGUAGCCAGUUUUAAAAUAGCUCCUGACAUUCUGCCUCUGCCUAGAGAAAGCCCUCGUAUUUCAUUUGCUGUGGAUCCCAGAGACUUUCUGAUUUUCAUUUUCUGUAGACCCAGAUGUGUAGAAAGAAGGUCAAGGUUAACUGCCAGUUUGGCCUGAGCUUUCAAAGUAAAUUACUCACUUAUGCAAGAGGGGAUUGAUGGAGGAAGGCAGCCUUUUGGGCAGACAGGAGAGCAACAGCUGGGCGCUGCUCAGAGCCCCUAACUGAAAUGGACAGACAGACUCACCUGGGAAGUUCUAGUUCUUGUUUAUUUCUUUUCCUCUGGAAUCACUUGAUGAGGAGGAACAAGAAGUGGUGAAGGGGUUUGGUGGUGGUAGUGGUGGGGGUUGCCUACGGGUUAUCCUUGCUCUAAAGAAAAUCUCUUUGCUUCCUGGGAGCAGCAGAAUGGAGCUGUUUUCCCAAGGAUAAGCUCUUCUAGGUGUUACAGGAUUCAGCAUUCAUCUGCUGCCUUUAUUAGCAACACCCUGCCAAAUUUCCACACAGCCCCUUUUUGUUUCGCUUUCCUGCAGAUGCUGAGCACUGGGCUUGGCCCCCAGUCCCUUGUUUGAAUGUCAGCUGGCCUUGAGGGAAGAGGCUGACUUCUCAAAGAGAUGGUGUUCCAUCCCUCAUUCCACUGUACUGGAACGUGCACGCAACACAUCGGGUUGCUAUCUGGGAAAUCUGGCAUCUUGAACGCACAGAGCUUCUUUCAACAAGGCUGGCCAGUUCUGAGCUCAGCCUGUCACUCUUAUAAUUAUUGAAAAUCAUCCCAGAGCACCUCUUUGAUCUUUCUGGUAGAAAUAACUGCAGAGGCUCUGGGGAAAAGUCUGGCAGGACUUUAUCCAAAUGAAAAAUAUAUUCCUUGUGGGUUUGAGAGAAGUUUCUUUGAGGGUAAGAUACCCACUGUUUGAGCAGUUCUCUAAUGCCUUGAUUUUUCUAUUGGGUUGAAGAAUAAGGAGUUUCAAAAUAAGAACGUUUACUGUUGCUAGGAAGUCUACAUAACUGUCAGGCUAGCUCAGCCUGGGUGUACCUCUGGAGCUCGGAAGGGCAGCUGAUUGAUAAAGGAAACAUAAUGCUUCUAGGAUUUCAGCAUGUAUCUGGUCCGAUAGCUGACUUCUCGGAAAGCUGCAAAACCAAGCAAGAAAAGCCAGUCUUGAAGCCAUCUUCAUUUUAAUUUGGGGGUCCCUCUCACUUCCAGCUCCAGUGUGCUAACGUCUUGGUUUAAUUCCACAGCCCGUUUCAUAUUUCAGACUUGGGAACUGGUUAUUAAAACCCCAUGUUAUGAAAUGUGAUUCAGCCUCUUCCCAUCUCUGAGCCAUAAGCUCUUGUGAGAAAUGACUUCAUUGGAUAAUAGCGUCCAUGGAAUAGAAAUUGGUGGGAUAAUGGAAUACAAAUGAUUUUAAUUUUCACGUCUCAGGAGUUUUUCUCAUUGUGUCAGAGCUGAACUUUAUUCUUAGAGCAUCCAGAAAUCAAUAUUUUUUUUCCCUUUUUUUUUUCAGUCUUCCGGGUGCCAGAGCCUUGCCCAUUAGAAAGUUAAGUACCACAGAAAUGUAGCCUUGGAACGAUUUAUUUUCUGCAGAGGGGCUGAGAACUUUUAGAUUGCUAAUCACUUCUCUGUCUGUAUGCCCAGGUGAAAUCUGAUGCCACUGGAGAAGGGUUGUUGAUUUACUGGAUCAAGUCUGGCUCCCUGUAUUCUUCCUCAUAUCCUGAACUUGCUGUGCCCCAAGGGACCCAGCAGAGAGAAGGCUUAGGAACAGAAGGCCUGGGUUCUGGUCCUCUCUCCAGCUCUAAACCUACUGUGUGACUUCAGGGAAGUGGUUUAACCUCUCUGGACCUUGGAUUCCUCAUCUGUGAAGGAGAGUGCUCAGGAUACAGUGAUCAUUGCAGCAGACAGCAAGGACCCAGAUGUGACAACAUACAAGCCCAGUAAAGUGGAGCAGGUGCUGGGAGAGAAGCAGGAUGGAUGGGUCAGUGGAGGAACCCAGAUAUUUCCAGGUCCAGGACCCCCGACCCUGAGCAGUUGAUGCACUGAAGAUGCCCAGGAUGGGUACAAGCCUCCCAAGAUCUCAGGAGUGUAUCAGCUUGAGAGAGAAAGUUUCUAAUAGAGUAGCAGAAGGGCUGGCCUUUCACCUUGAUUGCAGCAGGCCUCAGUAUCACAUCUGGCUAAGGAGAGGAAAAGCUGCCCUCUCUUCUCUCUCUCAUGUUACCCAUUCUGGUCUCCUUGGCCUCCAGGAUCAUACAAGGGAAUGUUUUUUCCUGACCACACUCCAGGCAUGAGCAGUGUCUAGCUUCCAUGUCACCUGGUGCCAGAGAUGUGAUGAAGAAAUUCCAGGAGAUAAAUGGAGAUUACAUGGAAAUCAAUCAUGUGCAGCUGGUGUUCUCUGCAGGCACGUGUUCAAUUUUAUUUUCAUUUUUCUCCCUGUUCCCUGGGAUCAGCUCCUUUAAGAACUUGACACCAGCUAGACUUAUGUGAUUAAGUGGUAAACAUAAGCUGGCUGCUGGAACCCUCUGUGUGUUUCUACAGAACUGAGAGGUUGUUCAGGGUAACUGAUGGAGACAUGAGUCUUUUGUGCCACAGAGGACAUGGGAACUGUUUAAAGGCAUUUUACUUCUUGUUUCUUGAAAUCCUACCUUUAAAAAGUUGGCUUUUACUGUGUUGGCAUCUCCUGUCUGGAGGGGGGAUGGGAGGAUAGAGAGAGUUGGAAGCUGGCAAAAUUGUCACGAAAGGAGAGACUGGAGGGGCUGACUCAUUAGGAGGAGAGCAAGUGGGAGUAAGGAGUAAGAUGUAUAUAAACUUAUAUGUGACAGACUGACUUGAUUUGUAAACGUUCACUUGAAGCUCAAUAAAAGUUAAUAAUAAAAAAAAAAAGUUGCCUUUUUUGUUAUUUCCCCUUAAAAUUCACGUAUAAUUUUGGCUGCUCUCGGCUACAUGUAGUAGAAGACUCGGAUAUCUGGGAGGAGAAUGUGGGAAUAAUUCAGUGGCUCAUCAACAUCAUCUGAGAUCAGUAUUCCUGCCAUCUUUCUGUCCUGCCAUAAUCAGCAUGUUUUCCUCAGGUUAUAGUUCCUCAUUGUCUCAAGAUGGCUGCUGCAGCUCCAGAUAUCACAUGUAGACACAGAAACCUGCAGGAUGGAUAACUGGAUAAAAUCAGUGUUCUAUUAGGAAGAAAGGGUUAGAGUAAAAAAUAACUGCUGGAGUGGCUUAAUCUAGGUAUCAAUCUUUGUUCAGAAAGAUUUGCCCUCUCUCUUCUAUAUAAGACAUUAAGUACAAACAUCCUGGCAUACUGGGACUUCCACAGAAUGCCCUCAACUUACAUUUCCUGGUUUUAUUGUCUACUGUUCGUUCUUUGCAGGUAGGCAUUGGGCAGCCAAACAGGACCACUUACUGUUGCUAGAACUUGCCAUACAUUUCAUUUUUACCCCCUUGCAUGUGCUUAGGCUGUGCCCUGUAUCUGGAACAUAACCUGUCCAUGACCCUUCUCUCUCAAUGUAAAACAUGUCAAGGACAGAGCCUUCCUCUUCUCCUGCGCAUCCUCGUCUUUUUAAAACAAGCUUUUUAUUACAAAACAAAAUAUAAAAGACUGAAAACCAUACAAAACAGUUGUAAACUUAAUGUAUUAUAAGGUGAACACCCUUGUAGCCACCACCAGGCCAAGAAAUAAAAUGUUGCCCUUUCCAGUCACAGUUCCCAUUCACCCUAGACACUGUAGUUCAGUCUCACCUAUUUUAAAGUUUUAUGUGUCCUUUAAGUCAGGUUUCUCCUCCAUUUCUUUCUUAUGAUUUGCCUCUCAAAGAACCCAGGCUUGUAGACUUAUUUAAUGCAUACUCAUGGUUCAGGUUAACAUGUUCCUUGGUUUCCUUUAUUUCCUGCAAAUUGGCAGCUGGAUCCAGAGGUGAUCAGACUAGUGGGGAUUCUCUGGCAAGACUAUAUUUGUUGUUAUGUUCCUUCAUCAGGAGAUGCAUAAUAUUUGGGGUUUUGCUCUUUUUUUUUUUUUAAUGUUAGCAGCCAUUAAUUGUUGUAAAAUGGUGGUAUUCUAAUUCUGCCUUUUUUUUCCCUCCGUUUAUUCAGUGGGAGUGUUCUUCACAUUUCUGCCCUGAGUCCUUGUGGCAUGAUCCCAGAGGUCUUUCAUAGCUUCCUUGGCCUCUAGUGUGUUAAGAUGUUGUAAAUUCGUUGGCACGUUUUCUUCUCCAGACAUGGAAUCAGUCACUUCUCCAAGAAGCCCCCUUGAUUUCUUUUAGGAGGAAAUGGUAUUUCAGGACCACAGUAUGGGCACUAGGGAUGCUCUUUGCUACUGGGUUUGCUACUGGCCUUUUCAUGAGACAGCGGUAGAAGAUUAUAAAUAUAUUUAUUCUUACAAAUUUGUAAAAUACCUCGAGUUCAUAAAUAUAUGUUCAAUUUACAUUCAAGACUCUCUAGUUUUUUCUAUUCUCUAUUACAUCUGUGUAUCUCCUUUCUUCACAUCAAGAACCCUGGUUUUCGAAGACACGGGAUAGUAGAAUUAGACUCUUUUGUCUUAUCCCACAUUAUACACACAGCAGUCUCAAUAACAAUACUAAUUCUACUACCAAUAUAAUACUGAAAAGAUUAAAAAUUACUUUUGCAUGUACUUUCUCUGUUCUCUCCCCAUUGUGUCUAUUGUCCUAUAUCUGUGUUAUACUGUUCUCUUUCCUAUUUACUCUUUUUUAGUCUUAGUUCUACAGGUAACUAUAUAUAUUUAAUGUUCACCAUCAGUCUGUGUAUUGAUGUCUCUGUUGUCAGUUUGGUUAUCUGAACCUUGUUCUCUAACACGUUCCUUAGGAAAGACUCAUGGGAGCAAUAUUUCUUGAGUUCUUAAAUGCUGAUAGCAGAUGUGCCCUUUAUACUUAAAAGUCAAUUUUGCUGGAUAUAAAACCCUUGGCUCACAUUACCUUUCCUUGAAUAUCUUAUAUAUGCUACUACAUUUUCUUCUGACAGAAAGCAUUACUGUCACAAAGUUUUAUGGUAAUCUAAUUCUCUUCCCCUUAUAAUUCACUUGUUUUUUUUUUUUUAAUAUAUAAAGGAUGAGUCCACCCAUCCUUUUUUCCUUUCUCCCCCCUUCCCUCCAUCCUUCUUUUCCUUCCUUUCUUUCCAGUAAGUUUAUAUACUGGAUUAUGCCUUAGUGUUGGUCAUUCUAAGUUGAUAUUCUUAGUUAUAGAGUGUGCUCUUCAAAUAUAUAGUUUCAUUUUUUUCUAAUUUCAAAAAAACUUUCUUGAAUUAUAGUUUUUAGUAUUUUUUAUUAUCUUUUCUUCCUUCAGCAAAUCCUUAUCUGUAUGUCAGAUCUUUUUUGCCUAUCUUUACUAUUUGUCGCUUUCACUUGAUUCUUUACUUCUCUCUCUAACCCCCACCUUCAUUUCUUCUUUGUUUAAAAAAAAAAAGUCCUCUUUUUCACCUGUUGUGUUUUUUAUCUUUUUAUUUCUUCUAAUUUGGUAUUCAUUUCUGAAAUGUUUUCCUUCUUUAUUUCUAAUUCCUUUUUUAGUUUGUUUCCUCAUUUCUUGAGUCUAAUUCUAACUUGUUCUUUCAUGUCUUGUAGCAUUUUGUUAAUAUCUUUUAGCUCAUUUUGAAUAGGUUACAAUUUUGAUCUGUUUUGUGACCAUGUCUUUUGCCUGUGCUCUUUGUCUGUAGAGAUGUUAUUCUGCUUCUUAUCCUUUUUAUGGGAUUUGAGACUAAUACUUUUCUGUUGCUCAUUUUUUUGUGAAAUUAAUUUUCUUGAACUUUUAGGAUAUGAUGAAUAUCCUAGGCUGGGUUCUCUAGAGAAGCAAAACCAGUGAAGUGUAUAAACAUAUAUAGAGAUUUAUAUCAAGGAAAUGACUCACAAGGUUGUAGAGGUUGGAAUGUCCCAAGUCCUCGAUCAGGAUAGAAGCUUCUCUUGACUCACGUAGCUAUAGGGGCUGGCGAGCCCAAGAUUGGCAGGUCAGAGAGCAGGGCUCUUGCUCACAGGCUGUGAAGAUCAAUGAAUCCCAAGAUCGUCACGGAAGACCGCAGGUAAGCUGCUAGCUCAAGUCCCAAGCUCCCAUGAACAGAAGCCAGCUGUAAGAUCCAGCAUGAGCAAAAGCCCAUGAGCCUUGCCAAAAUGUUCACUUAUUCAGUACAGGCCACUCACCCAAGGAAACACCCUUUCAACUGAAGGGCUGCUCACAGCAGAUCCCAUCAUGGAGGUGAUCACAUGAUAUCAAAUCUCAUCAUGGAAGUGAUCACAACAACAUAUGACUGCUAAACCACUGAGAAUCAUGGCCCAGCCAAGUUGUAACACAACCUUAACCAUCACAGUGAGGUUUGGGGAGGUUUUUCUAACUUCACAGAUCCUCCUCUUCUAUGUUUUAUGGAUAAUGUUAAAAAUUGUGACAGUUUGCUUGCUUAGAUUUCCAGGCUGUGUUCCCCUCUCCCAUUUUGUCUGAAAUUCCUCUUUCCUUUUGUCUCUGUUGUUUGUGGCCUGUUCAAUUUUGACUUUACUUUUAGCAGUUUCUCAUCAGUGCAGGUCUUGAUCUUCUCUGGCCGAUGAGCAUCAAGAGUUCACAGGGGCUAGAUUGCUCCAACCCCUCCAAACCUGCUUACUGUAGACCUCUUGUACCCACCUGUUACUGGAUUCGGUAGAAAACGUCCCGAUUUUAGCUACUGUUCUCACAUUGGCCCACCAUGCUUUCCGGUGAAUACCUGUUGUUUCUUUUGGUGUUCUGUUCUCAAGACUAUUAGCCACUGCUCCCAUUGCUUACUUUUUGCUCCUGUGCAGACUCCAAUAACACAAAGCCUUGUGACUAAUGAUGGUUUGUUCUCACCCAUUUAUAUUUUAGGGUUCAUUGGGAUGCCUUUUUAGUUAAUUUGGUUGUAAAUGUUGUUCCAUGGGCUUCGCUGUGUAAUUGUUCAGUGUGCUUACAUGGGGAUUCAGGGAUACUUAAAAACUACCCUGCCUCUGCCUCCUCUGCUAUCUUUCUUCAUCAUUUAAUUCCUCCAGUGCCUCUUACAUACAUUGUGGAUGCUCAUAAAUGUUGACAUCACACUGAAGAAUUGUUCUUGUGGGCAGAAAAAAUAUUUACCUGGAAAUAUUUUGUUUUAUGUAGACCAUUUGAUCCCAGAAUUCCUGUGGUUUUUUUUGUUUGUUUUUUUUUUUUUCCUGUCUCCAGGUACCUUUUAUUAGUGAUGAAUGCCUAGAAGGAGUAAUACUAAAUGAGGAGUUUUGUUUUUUUGUACUGGUGUCAGUGCCUCUUUGAAAAAGUGCACUGCCCCAGAAAAGCAAAUACAUUUUUAUGUCAAGUGGCAAUUCUGAUGAAUUCCUAAUGGCUUUUGGAAGCAUUAUGUUAAGAAGGAGUCUGAAGCCACAUCCUAUCUCACUGGGUUUAUAAAUUAGAGGGCUUUGCACCACAAGUAACAGAAAACCCAAUUCAAAAUGACUGAAACAAUAAGAGGAUUUAAUAUACUAAAAUAGCAAGAAGUCCAGGGGCAGGGCAGCUUCAGAGCUGGUUAAGUCAGCAGUUGGAUAAUGUCAUCUUUCUUUUCUAUCAUCCUCAGCAUGUCUGCCUUUUCCCCUCAGAGAUACAAGAUUCCUGCAGAAGCUACAACCCAGAUCAUAGACAAUAUUUUUUCCUUGUCACUUUUUAAUCAGUGAGAAUACCCUUUCCCUGGUCCCUGCCUCUAACGCCAACAGAUUCCUCAAGUGAUUCUAUCCUUCAACCAAUCCCUAGUAAGGAAAAUGGUACCACCACGAUUGGCACAGACUCGCCAAGAUAUAUCACUCAGUUCUGUGAGGAAAAUGUGGUAACUAUAAUAAAAUCAAGGCCCUACCUGCCAGCCAGAAAGGGAAAAUAACUAUUGGAUAAACAAUUGCAGUGUUUUCCACAAUGAGGAGUAUCAUGAUUGAUGAACUAUGUCUGCUGUGGGCAUAGGACAGUGAUGUGGUGUCAUAGGGCCAUGUAUUUGUUACACCCGAUGUGACCCUUUAGUGUUUAAAAAAAUUCUUUCACAUCUGUUGUCUCUACUCUUGGUCAAAACUGUCCUUGACCAAGCAGAUAGGAAUCACUAUUCUUACUUUGUAGUAGGGACACUGAGACCCAGAGAGGCAAAUAGACUUGUACAAGGUCACGCAUCCAGGGAAUGACAAAGCAGGGUUUCCUGACUCCAAGUCUGGUACGCCUUCUGCUUUCCCAUACUUUCCAACUCUAGUGGUUGGUUGAAACCAGGUUCCUUUUCUAGAGGGGCAGGGAAGGGACACUAAAAGGGAAGCCUGGAGGCUACCAAGGCUGGUCAAGACCUCACCCUACAAGAAGGCUUGCUUUAUUUCUUUCCUUCUUUCUUUUCUCUCUCUCUUUGUCCUCCUCCUCUGCUUCCUCCGUCUCCUUUUAAUAGCAACUUUAUUGAGAUAUAACUCACAUACCAUGAAAGGCCAGCUCUUUAAGGUAUACAUUCCAUUGGUUUUUGGUGUAUUCACAGAGUUGUGCAUCCAUCGCCACUAAAGCCUUCCUUUCUCAGUAACCCUUAUAACUUUGCAACUAGAGAGGGGAGGUUUGCAGAGGGAGAGCCUGGUGAUGGCUCCCUGGGGUUCCAGGUCUGUGCCUUGUCAAGGGUAACAAAUGCAGAUCCCUACAGGGGUUCAGGCAGGCCAGGUGAAUGAGUGACGCCACCUAUGUGAGAGAGCAGAACAGGUCCAUUAGUUGAAUGCACUUGUGUUCUUAAAUGUUCAGAGUAAACAGUUACGUGAAUGAGAGAGAGUGUGAUGAGGUUUAUAAUCAAAUAUCUGUUUCACAUAUUUGUCGUCAAACACUGUAACAAUGCUUGCACAAGAUGGCUUGAUGGUUCCCCCUUGUUCUGUAGUCAGCCACAGAUGUUUUGAUGUUAACAAUUCUACACGGGCUUCAACAGAUGGCUCCCCAAACCCUGCUGCUCUGUAAACAACAUGUGUACAUCAUCUCCUCCACCUUAUCCUGUACCUCGAUAGAGGAAAGAAAUGAUCCUUUUUGACUGGGCAAUGCUCAGCUGUUUUAUCCAUUAUCUCUUUGGUUUUAUACCAGCCUUGUGAAGUUUUCACCCCUGUUUUAGAGAUGUAGAAACUGAGGCUCAGAGAAGUUAAAUAAUUGCCCAAGGCCACUUAUCUGGCCAGUUGCAGAGUCAGUUUUGAAUCUGGAUUGCUGACUCAAAACCAAUGUAUUACUUUUCACUUAUUUUUGCUUUCUUGCUUUUAUGACUGUGCUUUUACCUGAGUGGGGUUCCUUGGCCCCGGAUUUUAAAGUUGAGCUUUGGGGGCUAGAAAAACCCACUUCAUCUCUGCCUUCCUAAUGCUUUUUCUUUUUAAAAAGACAUCUGUAUUAGGACCCUUUGGUUGCAAGUGACUGAAACUCAUCUUGAAUCAGCUUAGAUAAAAAGAAGGAAUUUAUUGAUUUAGGAAACUGAAAAGAGCUGGACUGCCUUCACGUAUAACUGGAUCCAGGGGUUUGGAUGUCUUUAGAGACCUCUUCUUGGUGCUGUUUGCUUCCCCUCAGGGUGGCAAGAGGCUUCCAGCAGCUCCAGGCUUUCUUCCACCAGCGUGGCAGAGCCAGCAGAAGGAGAGAGGUGCUUUACCAAUACUUGCAGUUAGAGUCACUGUACCAACCUUCGUUACCUGGUUUGGGCCAUGCACUUAUCUUUAAAGCUUGUGUUGUGGUCAGAGGAUACCAUACUCUCUGGUCCUAUAUGGGUUAAGUCUCCACACUUGAAACUGAGGUAGAUGCCAGUCCCAAACCUCAUGAACUGGCAGUGGAAGGCUGAUUCUGCAAGAUGUACAUGUGCAUUCCAGAAAGAUGAGGGACUAAAUGUUGGGUAGGCAAUUGCCUGCUUCUAUAUUUAGGAUUAAUAUUCAUUAAGUAUCCCGAGGACCCAAAAAAAGUACCCUCAACAAGGAUCCUGGAUUACAAAAAAGGGGGGCCAAAUACAGAAUAUUAAUACCACUUCAAUAACAGGUAUCCUUUUAUCAACAGUUCAGAUAUUGGGACAUUUGCCAAACUUGUACUUUUAAUAAUAGAAAAAGAAUGGGCAAGAUUUAUUUUGCCACGUAGAACUCACAUAGCUACAAUAUAGAUUUCCUAGGGUCUUAGCACAGCUUCCUAGUAUGGUAAUGCUUCAUCUAUCUAACAUCAUUAGGGAGUGAGGUUUUCUGGGUGAGUGGUUUAUGCUUUUAAGAUUUAAGUCUGUUAAAAAAAACUUUCGUAAAACACUUCUUUACACUAAUAAAUUACACUGAUAAAAUGAACAUAAAUUAACACUUUCUAAACCAUUUUGUAACAUGCUUCUAGAAGUUAGGGUGUAUACUAGUAGGUGUGAAAAACAGCAGAAUAAAAGCGACCUUUAUUUUCUGGUCCUGAGUUGUGAGUGGUGGGGGGUGGCGGGGGGAGGUGAGGACAUAAUUUUUGUAUGAAACAAACUUGAGUACAUAUGGAAUGUGCUCUUAUAUCUUGGUGCUGUUGAGUCAGUUCUGACUCAUAGUGACCCUCUGUACAACAGAACACUGCCCAGCCCUGCACCAUCCUCACACUGGUUGCUUGAGCCCAAUGUUUGAGCCCAUUGUUGAAGCCAUUGUGUCAGUCCAUCUCUUUGAGGGUCUUUCUCUUUUUCACUGACCCUCUACCUUACCAAGCACAGUGUCCUUCUCCAGGGACUGGUCUCUGUUAAUAGCAUGUCCAGAGUACUCAAGACAAAGUCUCGCCAUCCUCCCUUCUAAGGAACAUUCUGGCUGUGCUUUUUUCAAGACUGAUUUGUUUGUUCUUCUGGCAGUCCGUGGUAUAUUCAAUAUUCUUUGCCAACACCAUAAUUCAGAGGCAUCAACUCUUCUUCAGUCUUGCUUAUUCAUUAUCCAGCUUUCACAUGCAUAUGAGGUGACUGAAAAUACCAUGGCUUGAGUCAGGCACACCUUAGUCCUCAACAUGACAUCUUUGCUUUUGAACACUUUAAAGGGGUCUGUUGCAGGAGAUUUGCCCAAGCAGUAUGCUGUUUGAUUAUUUUAUUUUAUUGUGUUUUAGGUGAAAGCUUACAGUGCAGAGUAGUUUUUCAUUCAAAAAUUUUAUACACAAAUUGUUUUGUGACAUUAGGUGCAGUCCCCACAAUGUGUCAGCGCUCUCCCCUUUUCCCUUUCCACCCUGGGUGCUCAGUGUCCAUCUAAUUUUCCUGUCCCUCCCUGCCUUCUCGUCGUUGGUUUUGGGCAGCUGCUGCCCAUUUGGUCUCAUAUACUUGACUGAACUAAGAAGCACCUUACUCAGGUGUGUUAUUUGUUUGUUUUACAGGCCUGUCUAAUCUUUAGCUGAAAGUUGGACUUAGGGAGUGGCUUCAGUUCUGAGUUAACAGGAUGUCCGGGGCUGUAGUCUCAGGGGUUCAUGCAGUUACUGUCAGACCAGUAAGUCUGGUCUUUUUUUGUGAAUAUGAAUUUUGUUCUACAUUUUUCUCCCAUUCUGCCUGGAACUCUCCAUUGUGAUUUCUGUCAGAGAGGUUAAUGGUGGUAGCCGGGCACCAUCUAGUUCUUCUGGGCUCGGGUUGUUGGAGGCUAUAAUUCAUGUGCUCCAUUAGUCCUUUGGACUAAUAGUUUCUCUGGGUUUUCUUCAUUCUCCUUUGCUCUGAACACACUGGGACCAAUAGAUGUAUCUUAGACGGCUGCUUGCAAGCUUUUAGAACCCCAGACACUGCUCACCAAAGUAGGAUGUAGAAUGUUUUUUUUAUAAACUAUGUCAUGCCAGUUGACCUAGAUGUCCCUGGAGACCAUGGUCCCCAGCCCUCCUCCCCAGUAACUUAGUCCCUCACGGUGUUUGGAUGUUUCUCAGAAGCUUCUAUGACUUUGCCUUGGUCAACUUGUGCUGACUUCCCCUAUAUCGUGUGUUGUCUCUCCGUUCACCAAAGUUAAUACUUGUCUACUAUCUAGUUAAUGACUUCCCCUCACCACCCCUCCUCUCCCUUGUAACCAUCAAAGAUUUUUUUUUUCUGUGUGUAAACCUUUUCUUGAGUUUUUAUAUUAGCGGUCUCAAAGAAUAUUUGUCCUUUUGUGAUUGACUAGUGUCACUCAUUGUAAUGCCUUCCAAAUUCAUCCGUUUGUGGAAUUCAUCAUUGUUCUUUAUGAUUAUGUAGCAUUCCAGUAUGUGUAUGUACCACAAUUUAUUUAUUCAUUUAUCUGUUGAUGGGCUCUUAGGUUGUUUCCAUCUUUUUGCUAUUGUGAAUAAUGCUGUAGUGAACAUGGGUGUGCAUAUGUCUAUUUGUGUGAUGGCUCUUAUUUCCCUAGGAUAUGUUCCUAGGAAUAGGAUUGCAGGAUCUUUCAGUAUUUCUUUUUCCAACUUUUUAAGGAGGUGCCAUAUUGUUUUUCAUAGUGGUUUUACCAUUUUACAUUUUCACAAGCAGUGCAUAAGAGUUCCAAUCUCCCACAGCCUCUCCAGCAUUAU
Long non-coding RNA from Loxodonta africana (African savanna elephant), 13771 nucleotides. RefSeq lists it as uncharacterized. The transcript is spliced from 3 exons. The record is from RefSeq and is a predicted model, not a curated record. NCBI's taxonomy places the organism in Eukaryota, Metazoa, Chordata, Mammalia, Proboscidea, Elephantidae.